GCGAAGGCAAGCGGAUCUCUUAAAGACUGUUCUCAGUUCGGACUGCAGUCUGCAACUCGACUGCACGAAGCUGGAAUCGCUAGUAAUCGCGGAUCAGCACGCCGCGGUGAAUACGUUCCCGGGCCUUGUACACACCGCCCGUCACACCAUGAGAGUCUGUAACACCCAAAGCCGGUGGGAUAACCUUUAUAGGAGUCAGCCGUCUAAGGUAGGACAGAUGAUUAGGGUGAAGUCGUAACAAGGUAGC
RNAcentral lists this ribosomal RNA (247 nucleotides) under uncultured bacterium. RNAcentral's name for it is "partial 16S ribosomal RNA". It matches the Rfam family "Bacterial small subunit ribosomal RNA", at positions 1257 to 1500 of the family's 1533-position model. The record is from RNAcentral.